Aricia agestis (brown argus) is the source of this 182-nucleotide long non-coding RNA. RefSeq lists it as uncharacterized. Lineage: Eukaryota; Metazoa; Arthropoda; Insecta; Lepidoptera; Lycaenidae. The transcript is spliced from 3 exons. The record is from RefSeq and is a predicted model, not a curated record.
UUAUUUCUAAUUACGACUGGAGCGCCCAGAGGUUUUAACCUCCGAAAAUUGUAAUAGUGAAUGGAUUUUUGUUUUUGAGGUGUCAUUUUCUUUUUUACACUAUAACUUGCAAAGUUUACCAAAAAAUUAUUUGUGCUUUUAAUUUUUUAGUUACUUAAUUAAAAAUUAAUAUUUCACCAUAU